This 315-nucleotide ribosomal RNA is filed under the name uncultured eukaryote. RNAcentral's name for it is "partial 18S ribosomal RNA". It matches the Rfam family "Eukaryotic small subunit ribosomal RNA", at positions 1470 to 1796 of the family's 1831-position model. The record is from RNAcentral.
CCCUUAGACGUUCUGGGCCGCACGCGCGCUACACUGACCAGUGCAACAAGCAUCCGUCCUUGGCCGACAGGCCCGGGCAAUCUUUGAACGCUGGUCGUGAUGGGGAUAGACUUUUGCAAUUUUUGGUCUUCAACGAGGAAUUCCUAGUAAACGCAAGUCAUCAACUUGCAUUGAUUACGUCCCUGCCCUUUGUACACACCGCCCGUCGCACCUACCGAUUGAAUGGUCCGGUGAAGCCUCCGGAUUGGCGCGCACCUCGGUGCCGCCGAGAAGUUGGCUAAACCUUACCAUUUAGAGGAAGGUGAANCCGUAACA